GCUAGGGUUUGUUCAACAUUUCCAAGCUUGAUUGUAAGUGCAUCCUAUCCCUGUUUUUAAUGUUCUUUGUAUUUUUAAAGUCCUUGAAGAAUGAUCUACCCGUUUUCUAGCUAUAUUUUUAGCUAGGGUUCAUGUAUGAAAUUUGACCCAUUACAAAAUGCAUGUAUUUUGAUGAUUAAUGGAGAAAUAUGAAUGUUUGAUGCAUGAUAAACAUCUUUUACUAGGUGAUUUUUAGUGAAAACACCUAAACAAGGGACUUGUUUGUAAAAAUGUUAAAGUGAGUAGUAAUAAUGUGAAAUAAAAGAAAAUAUGGGCUGAUAUGAGCAUAAUAAAGGUUCGAAUAGGCUUGAUAACCAAGAAAAUGCAUGCAUUCCAUUUUACGAGCCUAGGGACUAAAUCGUAAAUAUGUGAAAGUUUAGGGGUCAAAAUGUAAAUUUACAAAAAGUAUGAUUUAUGGACCCAUUUAAAUAAGGUGAAUAAUAAAUAAGUUAAAUUUUGCAUUAUAGAUAAAAAAACGUGAAUCGGGACUUGAUCGAGGAAAGAAUAAAGUAUACGACGAUUAGGCUCGAUUAUCAUCAUUUUUGUACCGAGUUCUGCCAAGCUAGCUUGGGGAUCGAAAGUUGUCGGAGUAUUCGAUCACACUAUCAAAAGACUAUUGGGUAUAGUUAAAUUAUUAUUUUGAAUAUGGCAUGUAUAGAAAGCUUGAUCAUUUUGUGAUAUGUAUCAUGCUAUUUGGCCAAAUUGUGAAGGCCUAUGAUGAUGAUUCGUUUUGUAAUGGCCAUGUGAUAUGGCUCAUAUUUGAUUAUUUGGGGUUGUAAUCUAAUUACCCAUACAUGCAUACGCUAGUGUUUUGAUGGUAAGAUAUGUUAUUGUUUGGUAAGUGCAUAAUAA
Gossypium arboreum is the source of this 891-nucleotide long non-coding RNA. RefSeq lists it as uncharacterized. The transcript is spliced from 2 exons. NCBI's taxonomy places the organism in Eukaryota, Viridiplantae, Streptophyta, Magnoliopsida, Malvales, Malvaceae. The record is from RefSeq and is a predicted model, not a curated record.